GGUAAAUCAUUUCGUCUGAUGAGUCAACAAUCAACGUUAAGCUAGCUUCGAAAAUUACCAAUGAUUCACAGGUAAACUCGAGUGAUUUCGUCUGUAAUAACUUGUCGGUGAUGUGUUCUAUUCCGUGUAUUCGUGUUGGAUAACAUGUUUUUCAUCAACUCACAGAGUAAACGUGAAAGUCGUGCAACCUACCGUCAACUAUUUUGUUUAAACUCAUUGUAUUCUACUGAAUGUGUCAUCAAAAUGAUACAGGAUUAAUCUUAAUUAUCGGCUGUUUCUAUUGAAUUUGCUAGAUCACUGACUCCAGCAUGGAACAAUCUCUCAUUCCAUCUUAUAGAGAAUCUUGGAUAACUGAUUUGUGGUUUCAUGUGUUUCUAAAUUGGCAUGACUGACUAUAUGAGAAGCUAUGUCCUUCCAAGAAAAGGACUUACAGUAGACAAGAUUCCUUGUUUGCUAACCCGUUGGCUGCUACCCAUGAAUCUCCCUAUUUUUCAACAACAAAAAAAGAUGUUAAAUAUUGUGAUCAUGCUAUCAUCAUUAUGUUGCCUAUAAGACCAAAGUGGGG
Molecule: long non-coding RNA, 565 nt
Organism: Daphnia pulicaria
Lineage: Eukaryota; Metazoa; Arthropoda; Branchiopoda; Diplostraca; Daphniidae
Exons: 4
Source: RefSeq, a predicted model, not a curated record